AAACAUUAUGUGAAUAUUUCUAAUUAAAACCAUUCCUCGCUAUUACUCUGUGGGUGUUGUAGCUCUGAUGAUGAGAGAACUGUUGAGGAGACGAGUAGUGAAGGUGCUGUGUCAAAGCUUGACUACAGAAGGAGACAUUCAUCUGGCAGGAAGGGGAAGAGGAGGCGUUUGUACCAAAGCAAAAGGAAUGACUCCUGCAUUUAUUUUUAUUUUCAGAGCACAAAGAAAGAUCGGGGCAAGAGCAGGAUAGAUGAAGAUCAACUCAAAGAGCUGAGCAUGUCACUUACUGAGCUUCAACAGCAAAAAACAGCCACACUUCAUACUCUGAAGAAGCGGAGAGAGGAAAUGGAUCAAGCUAAGAGAGAGCAUCUCUCUCUCCAGCUCAGUGUGAAGGACAGCAGAGCACAGGCUCAGAACAUCACGUGUGAGCUAAAAAGACUGCAGGCCCAGAGGAACUUAUGCUUGGAGGAAGUCAGGGUUCUGCAGGAUCAACAGUGUGUAAGCCGCAGUGUGUCUGUUCUGGAGAGGGAAGAGAUGGACAGACUGCUGGAUAAUGCCAAGUCAGAACUGUUCUCAGAACAGAGGCGUUUCAGACACAAACUGGACUCUAUGCAUGAGAGGCUGGAUGAGGUGAAUCAGGAGCUGGAGCAGAGCGAGGAGGACUGCAGGGCUCUCCGACAGAAAUGCACUGAGCUGGAGGAGCAGCUGGCUGAUACGAUCAGAGAAAAAGAACAAAUAAAGGAGAUUUCUCAGAAAGAUCUAGAGCAACAGGUGAAGUGUUUUGGAGUACUGGAGCGAAUUGUUGCCCAGAAGGAGCUGCUUUUGCAGGGAAGCGAAGACGAAAAAAAAGGCCUUCUUCAGGAGCUCUGUUCACUGAGAGAGGAGCACAGCUUUAAGCUGAGAGAAAUGCAGAACAAGACAGAGCAAGAGAUUGAGCAACUGACAUUACAGUUAACCAAAAGCCACAAAGAGGAGCUUCAAAAGGUGCAUCAGCAGGUGGAUGAGUUGAGAUCAGCUGCUCUCAGUCAGCAAGCUCAGACCCACAAACAGAGCCUGGACUUCUUACACAACUGCAUCCAGAUGAAAGAUGAGGAGAUAAAGAGACUAAAAGAGGCUCUAGAGCAGCAUGAGGAGAAGAUGAGGAGGCAAGCAGUGGAACUCAAAAGAGAAGCUCAGGAAAAGGUUCCUUCCC
RNAcentral lists this long non-coding RNA (1192 nucleotides) under Sinocyclocheilus grahami. RNAcentral describes it as "lncRNA (ENSSGRG00000045387.1)". Lineage: Eukaryota; Metazoa; Chordata; Actinopteri; Cypriniformes; Cyprinidae. The record is from RNAcentral.